RNAcentral lists this unclassified non-coding RNA (329 nucleotides) under soil metagenome. RNAcentral describes it as "partial contains 5.8S ribosomal RNA, internal transcribed spacer 2, and large subunit ribosomal RNA". The stretch from base 1 to 120 matches the Rfam family "5.8S ribosomal RNA", at positions 35 to 154 of the family's 154-position model. The record is from RNAcentral.
GAUGAAGAACGCAGCGAAAUGCGAUAAGUGAUGUGAAUUGCAGAAUUCAGUGAAUCAUCGAAUCUUUGAACGCACAUUGCGCCCUCUGGUAUUCCGGGGGGCAUGCCUGUUCGAGCGUCAUUAUAACCACUCAAGCUCUCGCUUGGUAUUGGGGUUCGCGGUUCCGCGGCCCCUAAAAUCAGUGGCGGUGCCUGUCGGCUCUACGCGUAGUAAUACUCCUCGCGAUUGAGUCCGGCAGGUCUACUUGCCAGCAACCCCCAAUUUUUACAGGUUGACCUCGGAUUAGGUAGGGAUACCCGCUGAACUUAAGCAUAUCAAUAAGCGGAGGA